This 404-nucleotide ribosomal RNA is filed under the name Actinomycetes bacterium. RNAcentral's name for it is "Actinobacteria bacterium partial 16S ribosomal RNA". It matches the Rfam family "Bacterial small subunit ribosomal RNA", at positions 355 to 776 of the family's 1533-position model. Lineage: Bacteria; Bacillati; Actinomycetota; Actinomycetes. The record is from RNAcentral.
UGGGGAAUAUUGGACAAUGGGCGCAAGCCUGAUCCAGCCAUGCCGCGUGAGUGAUGAAGGCCCUAGGGUUGUAAAGCUCUUUCACCGGUGAAGAUAAUGACGGUAACCGGAGAAGAAGCCCCGGCUAACUUCGUGCCAGCAGCCGCGGUAAUACGAAGGGGGCUAGCGUUGUUCGGAUUUACUGGGCGUAAAGCGCACGUAGGCGGACUAUUAAGUCAGGGGUGAAAUCCCGGGGCUCAACCCCGGAACUGCCUUUGAUACUGGUAGUCUUGAGUUCGAGAGAGGUGAGUGGAAUUCCGAGUGUAGAGGUGAAAUUCGUAGAUAUUCGGAGGAACACCAAUGGCGAAGGCGGCUCACUGGCUCGAUACUGACGCUGAAGUGCGAAAGCGUGGGGAGCAAACAGG